This 74-nucleotide transfer RNA is filed under the name Araneus ventricosus. Its description in RNAcentral is "tRNA-Cys". The record is from RNAcentral. Lineage: Eukaryota; Metazoa; Arthropoda; Arachnida; Araneae; Araneidae.
AGGGGGCACCCGGGUCUGAACCGGGGACCUCUCGAUCUGCAGUGCUCAAUGCUCUACCACUGAGCUAUACCCCC